RNAcentral lists this ribosomal RNA (429 nucleotides) under Chloroflexota bacterium. RNAcentral describes it as "Chloroflexi bacterium partial 16S ribosomal RNA". It matches the Rfam family "Bacterial small subunit ribosomal RNA", at positions 355 to 776 of the family's 1533-position model. The record is from RNAcentral. RNAcentral also lists the same sequence under 1 other name. Lineage: Bacteria; Bacillati; Chloroflexota.
UAGGGAAUCUUCGGCAAUGGACGAAAGUCUGACCGAGCAACGCCGCGUGAGUGAAGAAGGUUUUCGGAUCGUAAAACUCUGUUGUUAGAGAAGAACAAGGACGUUAGUAACUGAACGUCCCCUGACGGUAUCUAACCAGAAAGCCACGGCUAACUACGUGCCAGCAGCCGCGGUAAUACGUAGGUGGCAAGCGUUGUCCGGAUUUAUUGGGCGUAAAGCGAGCGCAGGCGGUUUCUUAAGUCUGAUGUGAAAGCCCCCGGCUCAACCGGGGAGGGUCAUUGGAAACUGGGAGACUUGAGUGCAGAAGAGGAGAUUGGAAUUCCAUGUGUAGCGGUGAAAUGCGUAGAUAUAUGGAGGAACACCAGUGGCGAAGGCGGCUCUCUGGUCUGUAACUGACGCUGAGGCUCGAAAGCGUGGGGAGCAAACAGG